GGAGGCAUAGCUUAAUUGGUAGAGCACCAGCAGAGCAAUUAAACAAGUGUAAGGCCUUGGGUUCAAAUCCCAGUACCACCA
This 81-nucleotide transfer RNA is filed under the name Dipodomys ordii (Ord's kangaroo rat). It matches the Rfam family "tRNA". Rfam says of the family: Transfer RNA (tRNA) molecules are approximately 80 nucleotides in length. Their secondary structure includes four short double-helical elements and three loops (D, anti-codon, and T loops). Further hydrogen bonds mediate the characteristic L-shaped molecular structure. tRNAs have two regions of fundamental functional importance: the anti-codon, which is responsible for specific mRNA codon recognition, and the 3' end, to which the tRNAs corresponding amino acid is attached (by aminoacyl-tRNA synthetases). tRNAs cope with the degeneracy of the genetic code in two manners: having more than one tRNA (with a specific anti-codon) for a particular amino acid; and 'wobble' base-pairing, i.e. permitting non-standard base-pairing at the 3rd anti-codon position. The record is from Rfam by way of RNAcentral. Lineage: Eukaryota; Metazoa; Chordata; Mammalia; Rodentia; Heteromyidae.